GGAGUUAGCCGGUGCUUCUUCUGUGAGUGAUGUCCUUCCUGCCGGCUAUUAACCCGCAGGCCUUCUUCCUCACUGAAAGUGCUUUACAACCCGAAGGCCUUCUUCACACACGCGGCAUGGCUGGAUCAGGGUUGCCCCCAUUGUCCAAUAUUCCCCACUGCUGCCUCCCGUAGGAGUCUGGGCCGUGUCUCAGUCCCAGUGUGGCUGAUCAUCCUCUCAGACCAGCUACGGAUCGUCGCCUUGGUGAGCCGUUACCUCACCAACCAGCUAAUCCGACAUAGGCUCAUCCGAUAGCGCGAGGCCCGAAGGUCCCCCGCUUUCCCCCGUAGGGCGUAUGCGGUAUUAGCCUGGGUUUCCCCAGGUUAUCCCCCACUACCGGGCAGAUUCCUAUGCAUUACUCACCCGUCCGCCGCUCGCCACCAGGGAGCAAGCUCCCCGUGCUGCCGCUCGACUUGCAUGUGUUAGGCCUGCCGCCAGCGUUCAAUCUGAGCAUAAUACAACUACUGA
RNAcentral lists this ribosomal RNA (507 nucleotides) under uncultured bacterium. RNAcentral's name for it is "partial 16S ribosomal RNA". The record is from RNAcentral.